GAUGAACGCUGGCGGCGUGCUUAACACAUGCCAGUCGAACGAUGAAGCCCAGCUUGCUGGGUGGAUUAGUGGCGAACGGGUGAGUAACACGUGAGUAACCUGCCCUUGACUCUGGGAUAAGCCUGGGAAACUGGGUCUAAUACUGGAUAUGACUUCUCAUCGCAUGGUGGGGGGUGGAAAGAUUUAUUGGUCUUGGAUGGACUCGCGGCCUAUCAGCUUGUUGGUGAGGUAAUGGCUCACCAAGGCGACGACGGGUAGCCGGCCUGAGAGGGUGACCGGCCACACUGGGACUGAGACACGGCCCAGACUCCUACGGGAGGCAGCAGUGGGGAAUAUUGCACAAUGGGCGCAAGCCUGAUGCAGCGACGCCGCGUGAGGGAUGACGGCCCUCGGGUUGUAAACCUCUUUCAGUAGGGAAGAAGCGAGAGUGACGGUACCUGCAGAAGAAGCGCCGGCUAACUACGUG
Molecule: ribosomal RNA, 466 nt
Filed under: uncultured bacterium
Lineage: Bacteria
Description: partial 16S ribosomal RNA
Rfam family: Bacterial small subunit ribosomal RNA
Source: RNAcentral